UUCCGGUUGAUCCUGCCGGACCCGACUGCUAUCAGAGUGAGAUUAAGCCAUGCGAGUUAACGUAGCAAUACGUGGCGCACGGCUCAGUAACACGUAGUCAACAUGCCCAGAGGACGUGGAUAACCUCGGGAAACUGAGUCUAAACCGCGAUAAGUGAGGAUUUCUGGAAUGGUUCCUGACUAAAAUCUAUAUGGCCUCUGGAUUGGACUGCGGCCGAUCAGGCUGUUGGUGAGGUAAUGGCCCACCAAACCUGUAACCGGUACGGGCUCUGAGAGGAGGAGCCCGGAGAUGGGCACUGAGACAAGGGCCCAGGCCCUAUGGGGCGCAGCAGGCGCGAAACCUCUGCAAUAGGCGAAAGCCUGACAGGGUUACUCUGAGUGAUUUCCGCUAAGGGGAUCUUUUGGCACCUCUAAAAAUGGUGCAGAAUAAGGGGUGGGCAAGUCUGGUGUCAGCCGCCGCGGUAAUACCAGCACCCCGAGUGGUCGGGACGAUUAUUGGGCCUAAAGCAUCCGUAGCCGGUUCUGCAAGUCUUCCGUUAAAUCCAGCCGCUCAACGGAUGGGCCGCGGAGGAUACUACAGAGCUAGGAGGCAGGAGAGGCAAGCGGUACUCAGUGGGUAGGGGUAAAAUCCGUUGAUCCAUUGAAGACCACCAGUGGCGAAGGCGGCUUGCCAGAAUGCGCUCGACGGUGAGGGAUGAAAGCUGGGGGAGCAAACCGGAUUAGAUACCCGGGUAGUCCCAG
This 740-nucleotide ribosomal RNA is filed under the name uncultured archaeon. Its description in RNAcentral is "bacterial SSU rRNA". It matches the Rfam family "Archaeal small subunit ribosomal RNA", at positions 1 to 750 of the family's 1478-position model. The record is from RNAcentral.